This 478-nucleotide ribosomal RNA is filed under the name uncultured bacterium. RNAcentral describes it as "partial 16S ribosomal RNA". It matches the Rfam family "Bacterial small subunit ribosomal RNA", at positions 28 to 523 of the family's 1533-position model. The record is from RNAcentral.
GACGAACGCUGGCGGCGUGCUUAACACAUGCAAGUCGAACGGUAAGGCCCUUCGGGGUACACGAGUGGCGAACGGGUGAGUAACACGUGGGUGAUCUGCCCUGCACUUCGGGAUAAGCCUGGGAAACUGGGUCUAAUACCGGAUAGGACCACUGCCUGCAUGGGUGGUGGUGGAAAGCUUUUGCGGUGUGGGAUGGGCCCGCGGCCUAUCGGCUUGUUGGUGGGGUGAUGGCCUAUCAAGGCGACGACGGGUAGCCGGCCGGCGAGGGUGACCGGCCCCACUGGGACUGAGAUACGGCCCAGACUCCUGCGGGAGGCAGCAGUGGGGAAUAUUGCACAAUGGGCGCAAGCCUGAUGCAGCGACGCCGCGUGAGGGAUGACGGCCUUCGGGUUGUAAACCUCUUUCAGCACCGACGAAGCGCAAGUGACGGUAGGUGCAGAAGAAGGACCGGCCAACUACGUGCCAGCCGCCGCGGUAA